Molecule: unclassified non-coding RNA, 264 nt
Filed under: plant metagenome
Description: partial contains small subunit ribosomal RNA, internal transcribed spacer 1, and 5.8S ribosomal RNA
Rfam family: Eukaryotic small subunit ribosomal RNA (bases 1-55)
Source: RNAcentral
GGAAGUAAAAGUUCGUAACAAGGUUUCCGUAGGUGAACCUGCGGAAGGAUCAUUAUUGAAUGGGACACUUCUGGCUUUAUGCUGUUGUGCUGGCCCUUUGGGCAAUGUGCACACGGCUCUGGUCACUUGUUUCUUCUGUUCCACCUGUGCACUGCCUGUAGACACGCUGUGUCUAUGAUAUUUGUUAACACACAACAAUGUUAGUUGGCAUGUUAUAUAUAAUAAUAAAAUAUACAACUUUCAACAACGGAUCUCUUGGCUCUC